AGCAGGUGAUGCUCUUGGAAUCUUAAGGAAAUGGAGUCUGGCCUGUGGAGUUUUGGGGACAGAGCUAGGGGGAAAGGAAGCAUCCCAUGUUCAGUCCUUUUUUCAAAGGCCCUGAACACCAAGGUCUAAAGAUUCCACUGUAGACUGGGCGCGGUGGCUCACACUUGUAAUCCCAGCACUUUGGGAGGCUGAGGUGGGCGGAUCACCUGAGGCUGGGAGUUCGAGACCAGCCUGACCGAC
This 240-nucleotide long non-coding RNA is filed under the name Homo sapiens (human). RNAcentral's name for it is "non-protein coding lnc-PLEKHO2-2:1". Lineage: Eukaryota; Metazoa; Chordata; Mammalia; Primates; Hominidae. The record is from RNAcentral.